RNAcentral lists this ribosomal RNA (253 nucleotides) under uncultured bacterium. Its description in RNAcentral is "partial 16S ribosomal RNA". It matches the Rfam family "Bacterial small subunit ribosomal RNA", at positions 524 to 776 of the family's 1533-position model. The record is from RNAcentral.
UACAGAGGGUGCGAGCGUUAAUCGGAAUUACUGGGCGUAAAGCGCGCGUAGGCGGCUUUGCAAGUCGAGUGUGAAAGCCCCGGGCUUAACUUGGGAAUUGCGCUCGAAACUACUUUGCUGGAGUGUGGCAGAGGAAGGUGGAAUUCCACGUGUAGCGGUGAAAUGCGUAGAUAUCAGGAGGAACACCGGUGGCGAAGGCGGGUCUCUGGGCCGAUACUGACGCUGAGGAGCGAAAGCGUGGGGAGCGAACAGG